Molecule: non-coding RNA, 451 nt
Organism: Arachis ipaensis
Lineage: Eukaryota; Viridiplantae; Streptophyta; Magnoliopsida; Fabales; Fabaceae
Source: RefSeq, a predicted model, not a curated record
AUAUUUCAGAAAGCCUCGCGUUAGUAUUUCGUUGUGUUGGUUAAUGAAUAUGAAUUUUGGUAACGUGGGGGUAAAGUCCUGAUUGUUGUAUGUUGCGAUUAGAGUCGUUGAGAUUGUUGCGAAAGUGGCUAAGAGCUGAGGUUUUGGCUGCCGUGAUUUCGAGUUGAGGCGAAAAGGACUCUGUGAGACGUUUGGGGUUAUGGAUUUGCGUUUUGAGGUGGAAGGAAAGGAGAAGGGGGAGAGUUAUCGACUUUGAUGCUCGAAUAUGCUCCAUGAUUGUGCAAUAAUUCUCCGUUUGCAUUGCUGAUUGUCAGGGGAUGAAGAAAAAGAUGUAACUCGCCGGUGAUUCGGUGAUAUCUGUAAAUUUAGGAUUUUUAUCCUUCCCAAUUGUGAUGCUAUUUCUCGAGGAUUUUGAACUAUUGAGUUUGAAAUAAAAAUCUAUUGUUGUCUU